RNAcentral lists this small RNA (975 nucleotides) under Pongo abelii (Sumatran orangutan). Its description in RNAcentral is "retained intron". The record is from RNAcentral. Lineage: Eukaryota; Metazoa; Chordata; Mammalia; Primates; Hominidae.
UUUUUUCUCAUUUACGUUUAUCUAUAUCUUUAAAAAUUGCUACAAUAGUAUAUGUUAAUUGAGUAAUUCAAAAGAACCAGUAAUGAUAAUUACAAAAUUUCGUAACUGUUUUAUUGGUUUUGAAUCCUUCAGACCACUGGAAUGCCCUACCAAUCCUGUGGCUAAUUCAAAAUCUGGCCCAGAAUUGUCAUUCCCUCCAAAAUGUCAUCUGCCAGCGAGGAUAUGGGCCCCAAACAUUUUGACCUUCACAGCGUUGGUAUUUAAUGAAUGUUGCCGAAGGCAAGUACUUCAUAUGGUGUUGCAACUUCUUCCCUUGCAGGAAUGGUCUGCCGAAAACCGACCGACCCUGUUGAUUGGCCGCCACUUGUCCUGGGACUGCUCACUCUGCUGAAGCAGUUCCAUUCCCGGUACACCGAGCAGUUCCUGGCGCUGAUCGGCCAGUUUAUCUGCUCCACGGUGGAGCAGUGUACAAGCCAGAAGAUACCUGAAAUUCCUGCAGAUGUUGUGGGUGCCCUUCUGUUCCUGGAGGAUUAUGUUCGGUACACAAAGCUACCCAGGAGGGUUGCUGAAGCACAUGUGCCUAAUUUCAUUUUUGAUGAGUUCAGAACAGUGCUAUAACUGUUUUUUCCUACUUCUUCAAUGGAAGGAUUGUUCUUAGAUCUUCCCACCAUCACUAAAAUGAAUUUGAAGAUGAAAAGAAACUCAGUUGCUCAUAUAACUGCAUUUUUUGCUAUUAUGGGAAACAUCAGACGUUCGGAGUAAGAUAUAUCUCAUGGCAUUAGUUAACAUAACUGAUAUUGUUUAAAUCACGGUAUUACAUGCAAUUUAUAUCAUGUAAAAGCAGAACCCAUUUUUGUACUGCCUCUCUUAAAUGCCGAAUGUAACUGUUAUAUAUAAAUCCAUUUAGUUUUAUGUUCUAAAGAACUAUUUGUGCAACUCCAGAUUUUCAGUAAAAUAGUAUUACUAGUACCCAAA